AUGAAAACUCUAACAAUAUUGAGAAUUAAAAGGUUACCAUAUCACAUUCAGAAACAGAAUAUGUCUUUUGGACCCAUCAACCAUACUGUUUACAUUUUGUACAGUGACAUCUUUUUCAGUCUUUUUUUUUUUUUUAAUAAAUGUAGUUAUGUCAAAUAUUACUUUGCAGCUGAUGAAAUGAGAAGUCUAGCUAACACCAUGUUUCUGUCUAGCUACCCACUUCUGCCUACAUUGUACAGUUCCUUCAUGAUUGAUGUGGCUCUUAAUCGAUUCAUGUUUUUUUUCCAUUUUAUGAUUAAAAGACCAGGAACAUACAAAAAAACAAAACAACAUAAGUCUAAUUUAUAGGUUGCCCUGAGAACAAAUAUGGUGUGAGUGUGUCAAAUGGUCAGUGUUUUAACAUAUUUUGUCAUCUACAGGUUUUUUCCUUGUAUUCACACACAGCGUGGUGUUGGGGCUGACGGGGCUGUAUACCAGAGAUGAAAAUCCACAUCAGAGACUAACUAACAACGGAGACAUCUGUUUGACCUUUCUGGACAGUUUAUUAAAUCUUUGGUAUGGCAAACUGUUGGUCAGAAAUAAAGCUGAAAAAGAUGAGACACAUGCACACACACACACACACACACACACACACACACACACACACACAUCUCUCUCUCUCUCCCUCUCCCUAUAUAUAUAUAUAUCCAUAAUGUGUGAAACAACAAAUUAAGGUGAAACAGAUGUUGAAUUGUGGGAAGCGUAUGAUGCAUGUAUGAAUGCCACAAGCCUACCCCUUUCUGAACUGUGUUCUGCCCCAACAGUCCUUGACAUAAUAGCUAAAAAAUUAGAACUGACUGAGGCCAGGCUAAACCAACAGCAAUCAGUACUUGAAAACUUACAAGAGAUUAACUGUUGCAAAAGCAUUGCCAAUCUACUUAUAAACUAGGGAGGGGGAAUGCCAUCAGAAGCGGUUGGGUUUUUAACGUCAGACAUUAAUUUAUGGAAUGGCCACUCCCACUAAAUUAUUCGAGCACAAUGAUGGUUUUGGAUGGUCUGUUAAUAAUAAUAAUAAUAACAUUCCAGUUGAACAGCAGGUGACCAACAACGGUAGGAUUUUGAGGCACCGGCCUCUGACUAACCUGCUAUACAGUCACUGUUGGCCUGCUGCCAGGCCACCUCCCAGGUCACGCCUCCUCCGUUGCUUGCCUAUCGCUUGGCCUCCAGAUCUGCUCUGCAGCUGGUCUCCAGAACUGCUUUGUCACCUCCGCUAGCCCCACUGCUGACCUCCUGAACUACCCUCUGUCUGGCGAUUGGACUCCACCUAAAAAAUCUGAUGGAUUCAGUGAUCCAGGUAGAAAAUUUAACAGGUUAUUGAAAAAAAAUCUCCCAAGAAAGCCUUCAGUCCAAAAUGGUGCAGUGAAAGUAGUGACAUGGACUAGAAAGACCAUAUUUCUGUGCUGCUGGCUUCUGUUUAUUGGGUCCCUAUUCCUGUACUGAUUUAGAAAAUGUUUGCAUUGUUAUAUAUCACAUUAUUACUAGUGCUAGGAGAUGGUGGAAAAUUGCACACUAAAGAUGUUAGAAGGCAUCCUGAAUAACUUUGCUCAGCCACAACAACAGUAACAUCAGUACUGGAAGACUCCUCUCUCUCUGUUGGAAAAAAUGAAAUAAAAUUCACAGAAUAAAUUCAGAGAUAUAGAAAAUCAUUCGCACCCACAGCCAUCAGGCUUUAAUAGAUGA
Molecule: long non-coding RNA, 1719 nt
Organism: Oreochromis niloticus (Nile tilapia)
Lineage: Eukaryota; Metazoa; Chordata; Actinopteri; Cichliformes; Cichlidae
Source: Ensembl